Camelus dromedarius (Arabian camel) is the source of this 468-nucleotide long non-coding RNA. RefSeq lists it as uncharacterized. NCBI's taxonomy places the organism in Eukaryota, Metazoa, Chordata, Mammalia, Artiodactyla, Camelidae. The record is from RefSeq and is a predicted model, not a curated record. The transcript is spliced from 2 exons.
GGUGGGUGGCUGGAUGGAUGGAUUUGUGGUGAUGGGUAGGUGGUAGGGUGAACAGAUGGAUAAAUGAAUGGAAAAUGUUGGGCAGGUAUGUGGGGCAGCAAGGCGGGUGGGUGGCUGGCUGGCUCCACCCACUGAUGUGUGUGUGGAGGGUAGGUCCUUUCUACCCACCAUUUCAGUUCAAAUCAGAAAUUGCAGACCUUGCAGGCUUUCACGGGGAGCCCUGAAAACCUGCCUACUGUGCCACCUCUGCCGCCGGUCUGUUAGGAGUCAUCCUCUCACCUUGAGUGGGGCCGAGUCUCCGGCUCCCGCUGCGGGCGGUGCUCGCCAAGCCCCGGUUUCCUCGCUGCAGGAGGAGGCACCCUCUGCUCAGGCGUCAGGACCGCUGGACGAGGGCCAAGGUCGCCCCGCUUGUCAUGACCUCUGCUACCAGCUCUUGGCAUACAUCUGAGCAACCAGACGGAUGCUUUU